Molecule: ribosomal RNA, 253 nt
Filed under: uncultured bacterium
Lineage: Bacteria
Description: partial 16S ribosomal RNA
Rfam family: Bacterial small subunit ribosomal RNA
Source: RNAcentral
UACGGAGGGUGCGAGCGUUGUCCGGAAUCACUGGGCGUAAAGGGCGCGUAGGCGGCCUGUUAAGUGGGGGGUGAAAUCCUGCGGCUUAACCGCAGGGCUGCCUUCUAAACUGUCAGGCUCGAGCACAGUAGAGGCAGGUGGAAUUCCCGGUGUAGCGGUGGAAUGCGUAGAGAUCGGGAAGAACAUCAGUGGCGAAGGCGGCCUGCUGGGCUGUUGCUGACGCUGAGGCGCGACAGCGUGGGGAGCGAACAGG